AGGGUUGUUUGUGGCUUCCUGCGCUCUUUUGAUAAGUGCAUCCAUGCUUCAGGUGGUUCGGCUGCGGGCCUGUCGUUGAUAAGGUUUUGAUUCUUUUUUCUGGUUAAAAUUUCGAUGGUCUCUUGGGUUGUCGCCGUUCUUGGGUUGAAAACCGGCUUGAUUGCUUGUGCCUUGUCCCGCUCGAUUGUGAUGUUCUCAUUGAUUUCUUGUUCAGCUGGCGCUGUCGCAGUCUUGCCGGUCCUGGCAUCCCUCUUGUGCUCUUCGGGCCUCUGGUGUGGAGUCCUGUUCGUCACUCCUGCAUGUGUUGCUUCUGCGCUUCUGGCUGGAUGAUUGAUUGGUAUUGUA
RNAcentral lists this long non-coding RNA (345 nucleotides) under Androctonus crassicauda. The record is from RNAcentral. Lineage: Eukaryota; Metazoa; Arthropoda; Arachnida; Scorpiones; Buthidae.